This 446-nucleotide ribosomal RNA is filed under the name uncultured bacterium. RNAcentral's name for it is "bacterial SSU rRNA". It matches the Rfam family "Bacterial small subunit ribosomal RNA", at positions 330 to 793 of the family's 1533-position model. The record is from RNAcentral.
UCCAGACUCCUACGGGAGGCAGCAGUGGGGGAUAUUGGACAAUGGGGGAAACCCUGAUCCAGCGAUGCCGCGUGAGGGAAGAGGGUUUUCGGAUUGUAAACCUCUGUGGACAGGGACGAUAAUGACGGUACCUGUCAAGAAAGCCACGGCUAACUACGUGCCAGCAGCCGCGGUAAUACGUAGGUGGCGAGCGUUGUCCGGAAUUACUGGGUGUAAAGGGAGCGUAGACGGUGAUGCAAGUCUGGAGUGAAAGGCGGGGGCCCAACCCCCGGACUGCUCUGGAAACUGUGUAACUUGAGUGCAGGAGAGGUAAGCGGAAUUCCUAGUGUAGCGGUGAAAUGCAUAGAUAUUAGGAGGAACACCAGUGGCGAAGGCGGCUUACUGGACUGUAACUGACGUUGAGGCUCGAAAGCGUGGGGAGCAAACAGGAUUAGAUACCCCCGUAA